RNAcentral lists this ribosomal RNA (328 nucleotides) under uncultured eukaryote. Its description in RNAcentral is "partial 18S ribosomal RNA". It matches the Rfam family "Eukaryotic small subunit ribosomal RNA", at positions 1470 to 1796 of the family's 1831-position model. The record is from RNAcentral.
CCCUUAGAUGUCCUGGGCCGCACGCGCGUUACACUGAUGCAUUCAACGAGCUUAUAACCUUGGCCGAGAGGCCUGGGCAAUCUUGUUAACGUGCAUCGUGAUAGGGAUAGAUUAUUGAAAUUAUUAAUCUUGAACGAGGAAUUCCUAGUAAACGCAGAUCAUCAAUCUGCAUUGAUUACGUCCCUGCCCUUUGUACACACCGCCCGUCGUACCUACCGAUUGGAUGGUCCGGUGAAGCCUCGGGAUUGUGGUUCUUGCCGCUUUAUUGUGGCGUGACCGCGAGAACUUGUCUAAACCUGAUCAUCUAGAGGAAGGUGAAGUCGUAACA